This 635-nucleotide ribosomal RNA is filed under the name uncultured fungus. RNAcentral describes it as "eukaryotic LSU rRNA". It matches the Rfam family "Eukaryotic large subunit ribosomal RNA", at positions 23 to 641 of the family's 3401-position model. Lineage: Eukaryota; Fungi. The record is from RNAcentral.
ACCCGCUGAACUUAAGCAUAUCAGUAAGCGGAGGAAAAGAAAUUAACUAAGAUUGCCUCAGUAGCGGCGAGCGAACAGGCAAGAGCUCAAGCCUAAAAUCUGGAGUGUAAUGCUUCAGAAUUGUAGUCUAAAGCGGCAGACAGAAGAUAAAGAGUUUGUGUAACUUCCUUGGAAAGGGAGGCCAUAGAGGGUGAAAGCCCCGUUCCACAAUGCUCUUGUUGUAUGUCUGUUAGCAUAGAGUCGGGUUGUUUGGGAUUGCAGCCCUAAGUGGGAGAUAAACUUCUUCUAAGGCUAAAUAUUUAUGGGAAACCGAUAGUGAACAAGUACUGUGAAGGAAAGGUGAAAAGAACUUUGGAAAGAGAGUUAAAAGACUUGAAAUCGUUGAGAAGGAAGCGGUAGAAGAAUAUCUUCUUGAUAUGGAUGUAAGGAAGGUGAGUAUUUGCCUCUGCCUAAUGUGGUACGUUAAAGGCCUAUUGGGUAGUUGGUUAAGGUACUCUCUCUGUCUUCCAUGUCAAUAGCAAGAUGGGGUUACGUCAUAUUGGAUAUAUUGUGUACAAAGACGUCUUCGGACAGUGUAUACAAAAUACAAUAUGGAUAGCCUGAGGGUGCUACGGCGAUCUUGUAACGAUGGCUUC